CCGGAUUUAAACGUUAUUCGAAAAGCACUGCAAUUUUAUUCUUAAUUGUGAUUUUUCAAGUGACUGGGCCUUCGAUGGCAAGACCACUUCCUAAAGCUGAUUCUCAAGGAGGCAA
Molecule: long non-coding RNA, 115 nt
Organism: Phlebotomus papatasi
Lineage: Eukaryota; Metazoa; Arthropoda; Insecta; Diptera; Psychodidae
Exons: 3
Source: RefSeq, a predicted model, not a curated record